Molecule: ribosomal RNA, 206 nt
Filed under: uncultured bacterium
Lineage: Bacteria
Description: partial 16S ribosomal RNA
Rfam family: Bacterial small subunit ribosomal RNA
Source: RNAcentral
UGCGUAGGUGGUUUCUUAAGUCAGAGGUGAAAGGCUAUGGCUCAACCGUAGUAAGCCUUUGAAACUGGGAAACUUGAGUGCAGGAGAGGAGAGUGGAAUUCCUAGUGUAGCGGUGAAAUGCGUAGAUAUUAGGAGGAACACCAGUUGCGAAGGUGGCUCUCUGGACUGUAACUGACACUGAGGCACGAAAGCGUGGGGAGCAAACA